UAGUAUUCUAUAUAUGAAGCCAAGGAUGAAGAUUUUUCUCCGACAAAAGAAGGUGACUCCGCAGAUGAUUGCUAAGAGCCUGACCAAUGUAGAAUAUGAUACAUAUAAGCCUACCUCCACGGUAUCCUUGCAUGUAGCUGAGAUCUUCAGUUCAGGGUUAAAUUUUUAUAUUGGUACACAGUCAAAAUGCUGCCUUGUUCCAAUUCAAAAUCAUAUGCUAAGGCAUCCCUCCUACUGGAUCCUUGAAGAAAGAAUUUUUAAAUGUCUGCACCAGUUUUUAUCAGAAACUACCUGUGAGCUGUUAAAUGAAAGUCAUGUGUAUUUGAAGACUGUGGCUCAGUAGAUUUCAAAAUCUAAUAUUUAUUUAUUUAUUUAUUUAUUUAUUUCUCUUGAGACAGGGUCUCCCACAAUAUUCCAUGCUGGCCUUGAACUUACUGUUUAGUAUAGGCUAGCUUCAAACUUGAGGUGAUCCUCCUGCCUCAGCCUUUUGAAUGCUGAGUGUAAGUAUAUGCUGUCAUGCCUGGCUUUAAAACAUUUUUUUAUUAGAAAUGUUCAUUUUAAGUCCUCAGCAUAUACCAGUGAGCAGCCAAACUUGAGAAUCUUAUCCAUAGAUAUCCACAUUACAAUUUAUUUAUAUUGGAAUUUUGUCAUAUUUCUAUUGGUUAAAAUAAAAUUUUAGUUGGACUCAUUAAUCUUACAGUUUAUGU
Molecule: long non-coding RNA, 707 nt
Filed under: Rattus norvegicus (Norway rat)
Lineage: Eukaryota; Metazoa; Chordata; Mammalia; Rodentia; Muridae
Description: long non-coding RNA NONRATT018178
Source: RNAcentral